CCUACGGGAGGCAGCAGUGGGGGAUAUUGCACAAUGGGGGAAACCCUGAUGCAGCGACGCCGCGUGGGUGAAGAAGCGCCUCGGCGCGUAAAGCCCUGUCAGCAGGGAAGAAAAUGACGGUACCUGAAGAAGAAGCCCCGGCUAACUACGUGCCAGCAGCCGCGGGAAUACGUAGGGGGCAAGCGUUAUCCGGCUGUACUGGGUGUAAAGGGGGCGCAGACGGCGAGGCAAACCCUGAGUGAAAGCCCGGGGCCCAACCCCGGGACUGCUCUUGGAACUGCGUGGCUAGAGUGCAGGAGGGGCAGGCGGAAUUCCUGGUGUAGCGGUGAAAUGCGUAGAUAUCAGGAGGAACACCGGUGGCGAAGGCGGCCUGCUGGACUGCAACUGACGUUGAGGCCCGAAAGCGUGGGGAGCAAACAGGAUUAGAUACCCGGGUAGUC
This 440-nucleotide ribosomal RNA is filed under the name uncultured bacterium. RNAcentral describes it as "partial 16S ribosomal RNA". It matches the Rfam family "Bacterial small subunit ribosomal RNA", at positions 338 to 795 of the family's 1533-position model. The record is from RNAcentral.